UACGUAGGGGGCAAGCGUUAUCCGGAAUCAUUGGGCGUAAAGCGCGUGUAGGCGGUUCCGUAAGUCCGCUCUGAAAGCCCAGGGCUCAACCCUGGGAGGCGGGUGGAUACUACGGAACUGGAGUACGGAAGAGGAGAUUGGAAUUCCUGGUGUAGCGGUGAAAUGCGCAGAUAUCAGGAGGAACACCAACAGCGGAAGGCAGAUCUCUGGGACGUUACUGACGCUGAGACGCGAAAGCGUGGGGAGCAAACAGG
RNAcentral lists this ribosomal RNA (254 nucleotides) under uncultured bacterium. RNAcentral's name for it is "partial 16S ribosomal RNA". It matches the Rfam family "Bacterial small subunit ribosomal RNA", at positions 524 to 776 of the family's 1533-position model. The record is from RNAcentral.